RNAcentral lists this ribosomal RNA (497 nucleotides) under uncultured bacterium. RNAcentral describes it as "partial 16S ribosomal RNA". It matches the Rfam family "Bacterial small subunit ribosomal RNA", at positions 28 to 507 of the family's 1533-position model. The record is from RNAcentral.
GAUGAACGCUGGCGGCGUGCCUAAUACAUCCAAGUCGAGCGAACAGACGAGGAGCUUGCUCCUCUGACGUUAGCGGCGGACGGGUGAGUAAUACGUGGAGAACCUACCUAUAAGACUUGGAGAACUUCGGGAAACCGGAGUUAAUACCAGGUAAUAUAUUGAACCGCAUGGUUCAAUAGUGAAAGACGGUUUUGCUGUCACUUAUAGAUGGAUCCGCGCCGCAUUAGCUAGUUGGUAAGGUAACGGCUUACCAAGGCAACGAUGCGUAGCCGACCUGAGAGGGUGAUCGGCCACACUGGAACUGAGACACGGCCCAGACUCCUACGGGAGGCAGCAGUAGGGAAUCUUACGCGAUGGGCGGAAGACUGCCGGAGCAGCGCCGCGUGAGUGAUGAAGGUCUUCGGAUCGUAAAACUCUGUUAUUAGGGAAGAACAAAUGUGUAAGUGACUAUGCACGUCUUGACGGUACCUAAACAGAAAGCCCCGGCUAACUACGUG